UUGUCAUUUGAAAGGAGAGCCAGUUAGCACUCCCCUAGACAAGGAUGGAAAUACACAUGACCUGGAGGUGGCACCAGAGUCUCCAGGCGCCCAUUUUUUUUU
This is a non-coding RNA of Lutzomyia longipalpis, 102 nucleotides long. NCBI's taxonomy places the organism in Eukaryota, Metazoa, Arthropoda, Insecta, Diptera, Psychodidae. The record is from Rfam.